Molecule: non-coding RNA, 110 nt
Filed under: Paenibacillus sp.
Lineage: Bacteria; Bacillati; Bacillota; Bacilli; Caryophanales; Paenibacillaceae
Also listed under: 1 other name
Description: TPP sequence
Rfam family: TPP riboswitch aptamer (THI element)
About the family: Vitamin B(1) in its active form thiamin pyrophosphate (TPP) is an essential coenzyme that is synthesised by coupling of pyrimidine and thiazole moieties in bacteria. The previously detected thiamin-regulatory element, thi box was extended, resulting in a new, highly conserved RNA secondary structure, the THI element, which is widely distributed in eubacteria and also occurs in some archaea. Analysis of operon structures identified a large number of new candidate thiamin-regulated genes, mostly transporters, in various prokaryotic organisms.
Source: RNAcentral
UAUAUUGCACCGGGGAGCUGGAUUAGCUGGCUGAGAGGGAAUGAAGCAUCGUUCCGACCCGUAUACCUGAACCGGAUAAUGCCGGCGUAGGAAGGAAAGCUACCUUUUUC